AUGGCGGCCAUUGCCUCCCAGCAGAUCCCGUCGCUCCUAGUGGCCAGCCAUGGGCACCCUCCGCAUCUCAGCUGCCCCCCUCCACUUCAGCUUUGGCUUAGAGACAGCUGCUGGACCUCCUUCCCUUGGGUAGAGCCAAAUGACGGCGUGGCCUCUGAUUCCUUGAUGACAAUCCUGGCGGGUGAGAUGGUGAAGGCAAUUAUCCCACUGAGAAUGGACCCACCAUUGAUGGAUGAAGUGAGAGUGCAUGUGACACAUUCCCUGAUAUCUGCUAAAAGUUGA
RNAcentral lists this long non-coding RNA (282 nucleotides) under Felis catus (domestic cat). Its description in RNAcentral is "lncRNA (ENSFCAG00000053282.1)". The record is from RNAcentral. Lineage: Eukaryota; Metazoa; Chordata; Mammalia; Carnivora; Felidae.